CUUGGAGUAAAGAGAGCUGCCAAGAUGGCUGAAGUACCAUUCUGGAUCUUUGGUACUGUCAAAAUGCUUCUCCUUUCCCUCCUCCCACACACUCAUCUCACUUCAUUAUGAGCAGCCCAAAGAGCUGUCAUGGACUCUCUUAACACAUACACACACCACUCCCCAGAGCUUGGUAACUACCUUGCAUUGUCUCUUUGAUAGGCAUGUAAGAAACAAAUGAGGAGGAGGAGAUGCCUGAAGGGUCCAUUAACAUUGUUAGGUUAGAUGCGCUGACAAUAAGUCGAUUCUUUUUGACAUGACUGUCGCAGUAAUGAAGGUAUGUUUCUCAACGACUCUCCUUAAUAUAAGAUAAGAUAUGGAUGGCCCGUGUUUUUCCUCUGACACACGUCCAGUAUAUCAAAGGGUGGCAGAAGAAAAGGUUUGCUUAUUGACACACUAAUAGGAGAUAAAAGUUUAAGAUUAAUAGCAACGCUGCCUUUGUCUGUCCCGUUCCGUUUGGUGGGUCCUCCAGAGAAUGGAAAAUUCACUGCUCUGGCUUCUGAAAAGCAAAGGGAACAGAGAAGAGACGGGGGAUGCAUGGAGGCCACAGUAAAAGGUCCUCCUUUCCCCCAGAGUAUAAGGAAAAGGCAUGCAGAAGGAAAACGUGUGUCUUCCUGAAUGUCAUGCUACGUUCCAUUCUCCGUCUAUGACUCUGGUAUUUAGAUGGGCUUUUUGUAAAGAAGGAGCAUGGCACAAGAAUGGCUGAGGACUUUGUGUACAUGCACUGCCAGGUAAGCGUUGUUUUUCCUCCCCCUGCGUUAAACCCAAAAUGAAAGCAAUAAAUGGGUUGUUAUAUAGCCUUGGAGGUCGAACAAGAGCUGUAGCCUUGGGAUUAAAAGAGGUGCUGCUAUUGCAUUUCUCUUCUAUAACCCCUUUCCCCCAUGCCUUAGGCACAGGCAUCCAGACACCAAAUGAUCUGUUUUUCCAACAGUGUGGGAAAUAUGAUGUCUGCUUCAAUAUGUCUGUGGGUCUAAGAGACUUAUGAGAGGGGCAAAGCUUCAUGUUAUGUCCCUGUGCAUGGGGGGGGGGGGCUCGGAGAUAACAGGCUUGAGAUUUCCCUGUCAGCACGGAAUGAAGCUGUUCCAUUCCAGGGAUUGAACCUGGGACCUUAUGCAUGAAAGGCAGACACUCUGCCACUGAGCAAUGUCCAUGCCUGCUAAGAAAACCACAGAUCUUAGGCUCUUAUUCUGGGCUUUUCUAAACUACUAGCAUACAGUUUCCAAGUAACCUUGGAGUCCACCUGUCCUCUCCUGACUCCUUGUUUGCCCCAGCCUCGGAGCGCACAGCAGAAGCAGUGAAUCUCGUGAGAGAUAUAGCUUGGGGUGUCUACAAUAACCCACCAAAUUCCAGCAUUCACACUUAAGAGGCUUCGAAACAAAGGAGGUAGGAAGUGGGAGGGGAUAGGAUGGGGAAGCAUAAACUUAGCAUCCAGUUUUAUCUAAAGCAAAAAAGGUGCCACAGUAAUGCUGGGAAAAGUGGUAUAAGACCUUGGAACGGACUAGACUACAAUUACUUAGGGUCUUCUUGAAUCCUGGCUAGAAUCAAAACAUGGAUCUGUUGUAAACUUUAUACCUCCCAAGAAGUCACCAAGAUAUACUGCUAAGUUGUAAACCUACAGGACCAAAAUGAAUUAUCAUAACUAUAAAUGACCUGCUUCUAGAGACAAGCCUCCAGGGUGGCGGCAGCUAGAAAUCAAUCAAGGUGGUUUUGGAGGAGCUUAGCAAUAUGGAGAUGAUUGGGCAAGUCCCCUAAUUAUUUCAGCAGCAUAAAUAUUUGCAUCUGCUGAUUAUGAUUUUUAUGCUAUCGAUUUUCAUUAGCAAGAUCCCUUGCAAUCCACCUUCCCUCUCAGAAACACUUUGCCUUUUAAUAGACACACAAAGCCCUACAACAUAGCAGCUCAUAAAUGGAUAUGAUAAUACCUCAAAAGCAGAUAUGAACAUACUGGAUUAUACAAGCUUAUGCUAAGACAUCUUUGAUCAGCUUUGUAUAUUGUAAUCAUCAUCAUCAUCAUCAUCAUCCACUUCUACAUUGGGUGUAAUCCUAUUUGCCUUCCCUAGGAACUCAAGGAAACUUUCUGUUCCCCAGACUCAAUUUCUCCCUCUUUUUCUGAGAGAAUUCAGGGCUCUUCACAUAAAUUAUCCAUGUGAUCCUUGUGAUAGGAGUUGUUAAGCUAGUCUGCUGCAUCAAGCCAAAGAUCUUUCUAGUCCAGCCUCCAGUUUCUUGCAGUGGCCAAUCUCAUGCUGCUGGUAAGCCUACAGGUAGGAGAGGAGGACGAUAUCCUUCAACUGCUCUUGCCACUUCCCAGCAAGCAGCGUUCAGAGGUAUACACUUCUGAACCUGGAACCAGCAAUCAUGUCUAAAGGAAUUCUCUGGAGUGGUCUACAAACCAUAAAUUAGCUCAAUGUUGAUAAGGUGCUUUAGUUUGAGUGUUUGAAUCUACUGCCAGUCAAUUUCAUUGGGUGACCUUGAAUUCUGUUGUUUUGGGGUGGGGAGAAAGAAUAUGUAACUACUGAAGACACUUUCGUUUAAGAAGGCUUUCCACGAAGUCAUAUUUUGGACUAUUAAUUCUAGAAUGGUAGAAAUGAUUUUAUAGCUCUUAGUUUUUGAAUCCAUGAUUUAUCUUAUUUUUAUCUUGUUGUGCAUUGCUUUGGUAGCUGUGAAGUGAUUUAUAAAUCUGCAAAUAAAUGAACAACACUAGUUCUGCCCACUUUCUUCACAAUAUGCAUAAUUUUAUAAACCUUUAUCAUGAACACCCUUUCUGACAUUAUUUUUGUUCCUAAACGCAGAAGCUCCAAAUGCUUUGGUGUUCCAAUUCCUUGGUCAUUUUGGUUGCCUUUUUCUGGAAGCUCCGUUCUAAGAACUGUCCAUUUCCAUUUACUCCUACAUUUAUUUUGUUGUGUAGAGUUCUCCUGCCCUACUUUUUAGUCCCAAAGGGCUGUCACAGCUGCCUACAAAAGAUUUGCACAAAACGUUCUCAUUUAAGUGUAGUACCAGGAACAUAAAUGACAUGAUGUCCAUAUGGUGCCAGGUUUAUCCAGUCAGCAAGCCCACUAAGGACCUCGUAGGCAAGGGAUUGGGGCCGAGAAGCCGGAACUGUUUCAGCCCAUGAUAAUAAUAAUAUAAUAAUAAUUUAUUAUUUAUACCCUGCCCAUCUGGCUGGGUUUCCCCAGCCACUCUGGGCGGCUUCCAAAAGAAUAUUAAAAUACUGUGAUACAUCAAACAUUAAAAGCUUCCCUAAACAGGGCUGCCUUCAGAUGUCUUCUAAAAGUCUGGUAGUUGUUGUUCUCUUUGACAUCUGGUGGGAGGGCGUUCCACAGGAAGGGCGCCACUACCGAGAAGGCCCUCUGCCUGGUUCCCUGUAACUUGGCCUCUCGCAGUGAGGGAACCGCCAGAAGGCCCUCGGAGCUGGACCUCAGUGUCCGGGCAGAACGAUGAUGGAGACAUGUCUACAUAGCGCUUCCUGUUCUUUAAGAAAUCAGUGAUCCGUAAGAGAAACAAUCUUCCUAUCCCAUGACUGUGAAAUUUUCUAAACAGACUUCUUUUUUUAGUUCAACUCAUAGUGCUUUUUCAGGAGAUGACUGCAACAAAGCAAAGACAAUCCACAGAUAUUCACAUGCACAAGAAAAUAAGAAUAAACAAAAAGAAAUGUGAGCACUUAAAGCACGUUAUCAUUUUUGUUUUUAUAUAAAUCAUGGGAACUUUUAUAUUUACUUGAUGCUUUAUAAGCAUCUAAAUGUGUGUAGCACUUGAUGGAGCAUGGAGAGUGGAUGGAUAUGUGCAGCAGAAAUAUUCGUUGUAGAUCUCAUGGCAUGCCUCAUCCAUAAUAAGAUUUUUUCCAGAUGCUUCUGAAAAUUGCUGAAUGGAAAAAAAUCUCGCUUUAAACUAGUACAUAAUGAUUUCCCUUAUUUAUUGCCUUCAGUUUCCUUUCCAUUUUGGCGAAAAGAGACUAAAGUUUUUCUUCUUAAUCCAGGUUCUGAGAACAUGUAUGCGUGCAUGAAUGUAACACAUCCAUGAAUAUAAGGAAGCAUUUUAAAACAGGAGUAGCUGACAUGGCAUCCACCAGAUGUUGCUGGACUACCACUCCCACCAUCCCUCUCCAUUAGCCACACUGAUGGGCAACAUCUAGAAGGCUGCACAUUGGAUACCUCCACCCUUUCAGAAUUCUGCAAAGCCUUGUUUAUCUAGACCUCUCUGGUCUGGAUCUUUCUACAUACUGUA
Non-coding RNA from Podarcis lilfordi (Lilford's wall lizard), 4257 nucleotides. The record is from the annotation of a GenBank genome assembly. NCBI's taxonomy places the organism in Eukaryota, Metazoa, Chordata, Lepidosauria, Squamata, Lacertidae.